AGAUCACCAUUGUCCUCAAUGACACAAUUUUUGUAUGGCGUACCUUACCUGUAAUUCUAUUUCCUAUGGGAGGAUUUAAGAGAUAUCUUAGGAACACUAUUUAAAGGGAUUUACUGAAGUGCCAACCUUGUGAAUGAUUUUACCUCAAAUUGUUCAGUGGUAAGAAAGGUAAUAAAGCAUUUAGUUUGGCCUUUAAAUAGGCUAAUUUUUUUUGUUUUGUUUUGAGACAGAGUCUUGCUCUGUCGCCAGGCUAAUUUUUUAAACAUGCAUUUUUAAUUACCAGAAUUUACCUGAUAAAACUACGCUUUGCCAAGGUUGUAAGACUUCUGAAAAGACAGAACUAGCUUUGUUGCGUUUCACGAAGGACAGAUCAGUUCGUCUGUAUAGGCUAUAAGCAGGUAAGUAGUGCACUCUAUUGGUGAAGGAUUUCUGUUGUUUUGGAAAGCCAUCUAUAGCUGGCUGCAUGGAGGGAAAUCCAAAAUCCAGAUGACGUGGCGUGAGUCAAUGAGAUGAGAAACACUGGUAUU
Molecule: non-coding RNA, 527 nt
Filed under: Pongo abelii (Sumatran orangutan)
Lineage: Eukaryota; Metazoa; Chordata; Mammalia; Primates; Hominidae
Source: RNAcentral